GCGUUGCUCGGAAUCACUGGGCGUAAAGCGCACGUAGGCGGGUCGUUAAGUCAGAGGUGAAAGCCUGGAGCUCAACUCCAGAACUGCCUUUGAUACUGGCGACCUCGAGUUCGAGAGAGGUUGGUGGAACUCCGAGUGUAGAGGUGAAAUUCGUAGAUAUUCGGAAGAACACCAGUGGCGAAGGCGGCCAACUGGCUCGAUACUGACGCUGAGGUGCGAAAGCGUG
Molecule: ribosomal RNA, 226 nt
Filed under: uncultured bacterium
Lineage: Bacteria
Description: partial 16S ribosomal RNA
Rfam family: Bacterial small subunit ribosomal RNA
Source: RNAcentral